This is a long non-coding RNA of Bombus impatiens (common eastern bumble bee), 240 nucleotides long. RefSeq lists it as uncharacterized. The record is from RefSeq and is a predicted model, not a curated record. The transcript is spliced from 2 exons. NCBI's taxonomy places the organism in Eukaryota, Metazoa, Arthropoda, Insecta, Hymenoptera, Apidae.
AAAUUAAUUACGAUAAUUUCUUGACAAAGAAUUAAUUUGAAAUUUGAACAAUGCAAAUACCCCGCGUCGGAAGCGAUUCGUGAUUGCGCGAAAGUUAAUGCGCGAUAAACAGCAGUUUCUUUCCCUUUUAAACACAGCAAGAUGUCGAAGAGAGGACGUGGUGGUUCUGCCGGAGCAAAAUUUAGGAUAUCACUGGGCUUACCAGUUGGGGCAGUUAUAAAUUGCGCCGAUAAUACUGGU